This 85-nucleotide transfer RNA is filed under the name Mycolicibacterium austroafricanum. RNAcentral describes it as "tRNA-Thr(cgt)". The record is from RNAcentral. Lineage: Bacteria; Bacillati; Actinomycetota; Actinomycetes; Mycobacteriales; Mycobacteriaceae.
CGCCGGUCUUGGCGAAGGUGUGCCUGAUCGGCUCGUAGCUGGUCACGUCGGGGAUCCGCCACGGUUCGGAACCGUUGGCGAUGGC